This is a long non-coding RNA of Chenopodium quinoa (quinoa), 1082 nucleotides long. RefSeq lists it as uncharacterized. The record is from RefSeq and is a predicted model, not a curated record. The transcript has 4 exons. NCBI's taxonomy places the organism in Eukaryota, Viridiplantae, Streptophyta, Magnoliopsida, Caryophyllales, Amaranthaceae.
UAUUGCCCGUUAGAAAUAGAAAAGUCAACAGAAUUUUGACCUUGUUAUUUGUAACUAACAUAGGGUGUCCGUUACGAAUAAAGUAAGCCCUAAAUUUUCACUUUCCCCUUUCUCACUCCCUCUGUCAAAAAAAUUCCUCUUUCUCUCUCCAAUAUUGAAGCAGCUCCCGCGCGUUUUGCUCCUCUCAUUCUCACUCUUCUCCUCCAUUGAAGCGCACUUUGAUUUCUCCAUUAUUGAAGCGCACUCCGAGUUCUCCAUUAUUGAAGCGCACUCCGAGUUCUCCAUUGAAGCACACUCCGAGUUCUCCAUUAUUGAAGCGCACUCCGAGUUCUCCAUUGAAGCGCACUCUGAGUUCUCCAUUGAAGCGCACUCCGAGUUCUCCAUUGAAGCGCACUCCGAGUUCUCCAUUGAAUGAAGCGCACUCCGAGUUCUCCAUUAACGAAGCGCACUCCGAGUUCUCCAUUGAAGCGCUGUAUGAGUUCUCCAUUGAAGCGCUGUCUGAGUUCUCCAUUGAAGCGCUCAUAGUUCUCCAUUAAAGCGUUUCAUCAUAUCUGGUUACCGUAAUUCCCAGCAAUAAUAAGCAUCGCCAAUUGAUUAUGACAUAAGUUUUCAUUCGUGGUAUAAAUUUGACAUUUCUACAACACAAGGGCUCUUUUCAAUUGCUUGGUUUAGUUUGGUUAGAAAGGAAAAUCAGCAGGGAAGGAUUUCAAAAUUUUUAAUCAUAUUGAGAAAAAGGAGCAGCUCGGUCCUUAGCUCCCUCAACUCCAUUAAAGAAGCUCCGUCCUCAUUUCAAGAUGGUGUUUUGAUUCGGCUUAAAUCUGACAAUUUGGAUUUUAGUCCAAGGACCGCCCCGUAUGAUGUUGACGAGUUGAAUUUGGUUCGAGAACAAUGGGCGCAAUACUUUAGAAGUAAAUAUUUAUUGAAUGCUUAACUAUUAGUUUAGGUAGAACAACGUAAUAUUUUUAGUGUUGAAUUUAUAUGUUGGAUAAAUUUAUACAAGUUUUUAUUUGUAUUGUGUUACUACUUCAGUUUUUAUAUUACGUCGUAUUAAUUUUUACGAAAGAUUGUUCGGUAUAAUUGCU